This is a long non-coding RNA of Bufo gargarizans (Asiatic toad), 295 nucleotides long. RefSeq lists it as uncharacterized. The record is from RefSeq and is a predicted model, not a curated record. The transcript has 3 exons. Lineage: Eukaryota; Metazoa; Chordata; Amphibia; Anura; Bufonidae.
GGACAUACAAACUCCAUGCAGAUCUUGUCCUUGGUUGAAGUUGACCCCAGAGCUACAAGGAACCAGUGCCAACCACUGAGCCACCAUGAAAUAAAAAGAUUUCAGAGACCGAAGAAACUAUGGAUGAAUCUGAUACAAGUUCUGUGGAUCAAGAGCAAGAAGAUGAUGAGGAAAUGAAAGAAUUACUACAGAGCAUGAAAGAUAAAGCCAGGGCACCACAUCCCAGAGCAGAUUAUUGUUUUCAAACAGACCCCGUCUGGGCCCCUGGUGAAGAGCGUCCUGGACUAGAACCUGA